This 397-nucleotide ribosomal RNA is filed under the name uncultured bacterium. RNAcentral describes it as "partial 16S ribosomal RNA". It matches the Rfam family "Bacterial small subunit ribosomal RNA", at positions 523 to 918 of the family's 1533-position model. The record is from RNAcentral.
AUACGUAGGGGGCGAGCGUUGUCCGGAAUGAUUGGGCGUAAAGGGCGCGUAGGCGGCCCGGUAAGUCUGGAGUGAAAGUCCUGUUUUUAAGAUGGGAAUUGCUUUGGAUACUGUCGGGCUUGAGUGCAGGAGAGGUAGGUGGAAUUCCCAGUGUAGCGGUGAAAUGCGUAGAGAUUGGGAGGAACACCAGUGGCGAAGGCGACUUACUGGACUGUAACUGACGCUGAGGCGCGAAAGUGUGGGGAGCAAACAGGAUUAGAUACCCUGGUAGUCCACACUGUAAACGAUGAAUGCUAGGUGUAAGAGGUAUCGACCCCUUUUGUGCCGGAGUCAACACAAUAAGCAUUCCGCCUGGGGAGUACGGCCGCAAGGUUGAAACUCAAAGGAAUUGACGGGG